UACAGAGGUGGCAAGCGUUGUUCGGAAUUAUUGGGCGUAAAGGGUGCGUAGGCGGUUUGGUAAGUCCUGUGUGAAAUCUUCGGGCUCAACUCGAAGUCUGCACGAGAAACUGCCGGGCUUGAGUAUGGGAGAGGUGAGUGGAAUUCCCGGUGUAGCGGUGAAAUGCGUAGAUAUCGUAAGGAAGACCAGUGGCGAAGGCGGGUCUCUGGACAGUUCCUGACGCUGAGGCACGAAGGCCAGGGGAGCAAACGGG
Molecule: ribosomal RNA, 253 nt
Filed under: uncultured bacterium
Lineage: Bacteria
Description: partial 16S ribosomal RNA
Rfam family: Bacterial small subunit ribosomal RNA
Source: RNAcentral